Molecule: ribosomal RNA, 194 nt
Filed under: uncultured bacterium
Lineage: Bacteria
Description: partial 16S ribosomal RNA
Rfam family: Bacterial small subunit ribosomal RNA
Source: RNAcentral
GCAACUCGCCUACAUGAAGUUGGAAUCGCUAGUAAUCGCGAAUCAGAAUGUCGCGGUGAAUACGUUCCCGGGUCUCGUACACACCGCCCGUCACACCACGAGAGUUUACAACACCCGAAGUCAGUGGCCUAACCGCAAGGAGGGAGCUGCCUAAGGUGGGGUAGAUGAUUGGGGUGAAGUCGUAACAAGGUACC